Molecule: ribosomal RNA, 502 nt
Filed under: uncultured Glomeromycotina
Lineage: Eukaryota; Fungi; Glomeromycota
Description: partial small subunit ribosomal RNA
Rfam family: Eukaryotic small subunit ribosomal RNA
Source: RNAcentral
CCAAUAGCGUAUAUUAAAGUUGUUGCAGUUAAAAAGCUCGUAGUUGAACUUCGGGGUUUACUCAUUGGUCAGGCUUAAUUGUCUGUACUGGUGAGAUGAAUCUCUACCUUCUGAGGAACUUUCAUGCCAUUUAUUUGGUGUGAUUGGAAAUCAGGACUGUUACUUUGAAAAAAUUAGAGUGUUUAAAGCAGGCUAACGUCUGAAUACAUUAGCAUGGAAUAAUGAAAUAGGACGGAUUGAUUCUAUUUCGUUGGUUUCUAGGGUCACCGUAAUGAUUAAUAGGGAUAGUUGGGGGCAUUAGUAUUCAAUUGUCAGAGGUGAAAUUCUUGGAUUUAUUGAAGACUAACUACUGCGAAAGCAUUUGCCAAGGAUGUUUUCAUUAAUCGAGAACGAAAGUUAGGGGAUCGAAGACGAUCAGAUACCGUCGUAGUCUUAACCAUAAACUAUGCCGACUAGGGAUCGGACGCAGUUAAUUUUAUAAUGACGUGUUCGGCACCUUACG